RNAcentral lists this ribosomal RNA (407 nucleotides) under uncultured bacterium. Its description in RNAcentral is "partial 16S ribosomal RNA". It matches the Rfam family "Bacterial small subunit ribosomal RNA", at positions 30 to 526 of the family's 1533-position model. The record is from RNAcentral.
AUUGAACGCUAGCGGGAUGCCUUACACAUGCAAGUCGAACGGAGUGGCGAACGGGUGAGUAAUGUAUCGGAACGUGCCUAGUAGCGGGGGAUAACUACGCGAAAGCGUAGCUAAUACCGCAUACUCUUGGAGCGGCCGAUAUCGGAUUAGCUAGUUGGUGGGGUAACGGCUCACCAAGGCGACGAUCCGUAACUGGUUUGAGAGGAUGACCAGCCCCACUGGGACUGAGACACGGCCCAUACGCCUACGGGAGGCAGGAGUGGGGAAUGUUGGACAAUGGGGGAAACCGUGAGCCAGCCAUGCAGCGUGUGCGAAGAAGGCCUUCGGGUUGUAAAGCACUUUUGUCAGGAAAGCGGUACCAACAGAAUAAGCACCGGCUAACUACGUGCCAGCAGCCGCGGGAAUAC